GAUGAAGAACGCAGCGAAAUGCGAUAAGUAAUGUGAAUUGCAGAAUUCAGUGAAUCAUCGAAUCUUUGAACGCACCUUGCACCCUUUGGCAUUCCGAAGGGUAUGCUCGUUUGAGUGUCAUUGUACUCUCACACUUCUGAUCCUUUGGAUUGGGAGCGGUGGACUUGGGUGUUGCUGCUUUACUGUGGCUCACCUCAAUGCAUUCGUGCAACUCUUGGUUGGACAUAGUACGGCGUGAUAAGUAUCUUCGCCGGCACCUCGCAAGAGGGUGGCUGAUCAGGAGCUCUGUGCUUUCCAACUGUCUUCAGACAACAACUGACAACUUGACCUCAAAUCGAGUAGGACCACCCGCUGAACUUAAGCAUAUCAAUAAGCGGAGGA
Molecule: unclassified non-coding RNA, 381 nt
Filed under: soil metagenome
Description: partial contains 5.8S ribosomal RNA, internal transcribed spacer 2, and large subunit ribosomal RNA
Rfam family: 5.8S ribosomal RNA (bases 1-120)
Source: RNAcentral